This 334-nucleotide unclassified non-coding RNA is filed under the name uncultured fungus. RNAcentral's name for it is "partial internal transcribed spacer 1". The record is from RNAcentral. Lineage: Eukaryota; Fungi.
AACUAUUGGUGUGAUACGCUGUGAAGUUAGCCGUGGCGGACAACGGCGCAUAAGGCGGAUCGCAAUAGACCACCGACGACUUGUCCGCACGCGCCAUACUGUCUGCGUAUGACUCACAGUAAAAGAACGCAUUCUGCGCUUUUUCUGCAAAGUGGUACAACUCCGCUUCCGGGAAGUAAGGUCUUUUAUAACGACCAAACGGUACAUUAAAUUCCCCACGUAAGUUAUAGCGACAGAGUCCGUUAUAACCGUAGCGAUUCAGAUAUAAAAACAGUACCGCCCGACGAAAGGGGUCCUGGCAGGUGUUGAACUCCUCACGGAGUUGGUAAUAGAC